RNAcentral lists this long non-coding RNA (316 nucleotides) under Capsella grandiflora. RNAcentral's name for it is "long non-coding RNA (CGRA_LNC000762)". Lineage: Eukaryota; Viridiplantae; Streptophyta; Magnoliopsida; Brassicales; Brassicaceae. The record is from RNAcentral.
CAUUCUCUCUCUCUCUCUCUCUCUCUCUCUCUCUCUCUCUCUCUCUCUCUCUCUCUCUCUCUCUCUCUCUCUCUCUCUCUCUCUCCCUCUCUCUCUUCUCUUAUAAGAUUUGGUUUAGUCCUUCAAAACUUGAAACAUAAUUUUGUAUGUAUAAUAAGCAUACUUUAAACUAUAUUUAAGACGGAUAAAUAUCAUUAUCAUGAAAAGAAACAAAAUAUAAUAUCAUAUUUCUCAAUAUUAAUUAAAGUUUUAAGAAGAAUUAGAAAGAAAAAACAUAAUUUUUUUAAAGUCAUUAAUAAAAUAUGUAAAUAUUAAG